RNAcentral lists this ribosomal RNA (1168 nucleotides) under Enterobacter hormaechei. Its description in RNAcentral is "partial 23S ribosomal RNA". It matches the Rfam family "Bacterial large subunit ribosomal RNA", at positions 1 to 1212 of the family's 2925-position model. RNAcentral also lists the same sequence under 4 other names. The record is from RNAcentral. Lineage: Bacteria; Pseudomonadati; Pseudomonadota; Gammaproteobacteria; Enterobacterales; Enterobacteriaceae.
GGUUAAGCGACUAAGCGUACACGGUGGAUGCCCUGGCAGUCAGAGGCGAUGAAGGACGUGCUAAUCUGCGAAAAGCGCCGGCGAGGUGAUAUGAACCUUUGACCCGGCGAUGUCCGAAUGGGGAAACCCAGUGCAAUCCGUUGCACUAUCGUUAACUGAAUACAUAGGUUAACGAGGCGAACCGGGGGAACUGAAACAUCUAAGUACCCCGAGGAAAAGAAAUCAACCGAGAUUCCCCCAGUAGCGGCGAGCGAACGGGGAGCAGCCCGGAGUCUGAAUCAGCUUGUGUGUUAGUGGAACGGUCUGGAAAGUCCGACGGUACAGGGUGAUAGUCCCGUACACGAAAGCACACUUGCUGUGAACUCGAAGAGUAGGGCGGGACACGUGGUAUCCUGUCUGAAUAUGGGGGGACCAUCCUCCAAGGCUAAAUACUCCUGACUGACCGAUAGUGAACCAGUACCGUGAGGGAAAGGCGAAAAGAACCCCGGCGAGGGGAGUGAAAAAGAACCUGAAACCGUGUACGUACAAGCAGUGGGAGCCUCUUUAUGGGGUGACUGCGUACCUUUUGUAUAAUGGGUCAGCGACUUAUAUUCUGUAGCAAGGUUAACCGUAUAGGGGAGCCGAAGGGAAACCGAGUCUUAACUGGGCGUUAAGUUGCAGGGUAUAGACCCGAAACCCGGUGAUCUAGCCAUGGGCAGGUUGAAGGUUGGGUAACACUAACUGGAGGACCGAACCGACUAAUGUUGAAAAAUUAGCGGAUGACCUGUGGCUGGGGGUGAAAGGCCAAUCAAACCGGGAGAUAGCUGGUUCUCCCCGAAAGCUAUUUAGGUAGCGCCUCGUGAACUCAUCUUCGGGGGUAGAGCACUGUUUCGGCUAGGGGGCCAUCCCGGCUUACCAACCCGAUGCAAACUACGAAUACCGAAGAAUGUUAUCACGGGAGACACACGGCGGGUGCUAACGUCCGUCGUGAAGAGGGAAACAACCCAGACCGCCAGCUAAGGUCCCAAAGUCAUGGUUAAGUGGGAAACGAUGUGGGAAGGCACAGACAGCCAGGAUGUUGGCUUAGAAGCAGCCAUCAUUUAAAGAAAGCGUAAUAGCUCACUGGUCGAGUCGGCCUGCGCGGAAGAUGUAACGGGGCUAAACCAUGCACCGAAGCUGCGGCAGCGAC